UAACACUUUGUCUUUUUGGUGGUAGACUUUUAACAAGUCAGUUUUCCUAUUUACUUCCUAUUCACUUGGCCUGGUAGUGAUAUUCUCUGCGGCCUGUCAGAAGAGUAUCUGUUUAGCCGGCUGCAGAUAUGACAGCUCAUAACAUAUAUUAUGUGCAGUGCUAUUUCUGAAGAGAGGAAGGUGAUAGAUCUGAAGCAAUCAAAAGACACCAUGGCUCUGAGGACUAUUAAAACAUACAUACACAAUAACAGGAAGACUUCUGCCCUUGUCUGAGAGGCCCAUCAAACAAAAGCAUUUCCGCUCCUGGAAGAGUGGAAUUCCAGCAGAAGGCAAACAGAGAUCAAGUUGCUCAUUCUUCAUUUCCAGCUAGCAAAAGAAGAGCAUGCUUCGACACACAUUAUUAUGAUGCCAAAGAUUUCAUGUUGUUGGUGAAAUGUGCUAUCAGUUCAGUGGAUAUGGAGAAAAUG
Pelodiscus sinensis (Chinese soft-shelled turtle) is the source of this 467-nucleotide non-coding RNA. The record is from RefSeq and is a predicted model, not a curated record. Lineage: Eukaryota; Metazoa; Chordata; Testudines; Trionychidae.